RNAcentral lists this ribosomal RNA (482 nucleotides) under uncultured bacterium. RNAcentral describes it as "partial 16S ribosomal RNA". It matches the Rfam family "Bacterial small subunit ribosomal RNA", at positions 30 to 507 of the family's 1533-position model. The record is from RNAcentral.
AUUGAACGCUGGCGGCAUGCUUUACACAUGCAAGUCGAACGGUAACAGGCCGCAUGUUUCUGCCGUGUGUCUAACGGUUGAGUAAUUCAUCGUAACGUUCCCAUUCGUUUGUUAUAUCUACUCUUAAGAGUAUCUAAUACCUCAUACGAUCUAUUGUUUAAAGCUGUGUACCUUAAGUCCUCGCGCGAUUUGUUCUUCCUAUGUCAGAUUAGUUAGUUGGUGGGGUAAAGGCUCACCAAGCCAACGAUCUGUAGCUGGUCUGAGAGGACGACCAGCCACACUGGGAGUGAGACACGGCCCAGACAACUACGGGAGGCAGAAGUGGGGAAUGUUGGAAAAUGGGCGAAAGCAUGAUACAGCAAGGCCGAGUGAAGGAAGAAGGACUUAGGGUGGUAAACUGAUUUUGUAAGGAAAGAAAAGGAUCUGGUUAAAAAACGGGGAUAAUGACGGUAACGUAAGAAUAAGCACCGGCUAACUACGUG